CCUACGGGUGGCAGCAGUGGGGAAUAUUGCACAAUGGGCGCAAGCCUGAUGCAGCGACGCCGCGUGCGGGAUGGAGGCCUUAGGGUUGUAAACCGCUGUUGUUCAAGGGCAAGGCACGGGCGUGGGCCGGGUUGAGUGGAUGGUUCGAAUAAGCACCGGCUAACUACGUGCUAGCAGCCGCGGGAAUACGUAGGGUGCAAGCGUUAUCCGGAUUUAUUGGGCGUAAAGGGCUCGUAGGCGGUUCGUCGCGUCCGGUGGGAAAGUCCAUCGCUUAACGGUGGGUCCGCGCCGGGUACUGGCGGGCUUGAGUGCGGUAGGGGAGACUGGAAUUCCCGGUGUAGCGGU
Molecule: ribosomal RNA, 345 nt
Filed under: uncultured bacterium
Lineage: Bacteria
Description: partial 16S ribosomal RNA
Rfam family: Bacterial small subunit ribosomal RNA
Source: RNAcentral